GCAUCCGUAUCCAACUCAAUCCAUGUGGGUUGGAGUGGAUUGAGGUGGAAAAUAGUUUAAGUUCCACCCAAUCCACUCCAACACAUGUGGAUUGAGAUAGAUACGACU
RNAcentral lists this microRNA precursor (108 nucleotides) under Sorghum bicolor (sorghum). RNAcentral describes it as "MIR5565 microRNA precursor family". It matches the Rfam family "MIR5565 microRNA precursor family". Lineage: Eukaryota; Viridiplantae; Streptophyta; Magnoliopsida; Poales; Poaceae. The record is from Rfam by way of RNAcentral.